This 429-nucleotide ribosomal RNA is filed under the name bacterium. RNAcentral's name for it is "partial 16S ribosomal RNA". It matches the Rfam family "Bacterial small subunit ribosomal RNA", at positions 355 to 776 of the family's 1533-position model. The record is from RNAcentral.
UAGGGAAUCUUCGGCAAUGGGUGCAACCCUGACCGAGCAACGCCGCGUGAGUGAAGAAGGUUUUCGGAUCGUAAAGCUCUGUUGUAAGAGAAGAACGUGUGUGAGAGUGGAAAGUUCACACAGUGACGGUAACUUACCAGAAAGGGACGGCUAACUACGUGCCAGCAGCCGCGGUAAUACGUAGGUCCCGAGCGUUGUCCGGAUUUAUUGGGCGUAAAGCGAGCGCAGGCGGUUUAAUAAGUCUGAAGUUAAAGGCAGUGGCUUAACCAUUGUUCGCUUUGGAAACUGUUAAACUUGAGUGCAGAAGGGGAGAGUGGAAUUCCAUGUGUAGCGGUGAAAUGCGUAGAUAUAUGGAGGAACACCGGUGGCGAAAGCGGCUCUCUGGUCUGUAACUGACGCUGAGGCUCGAAAGCGUGGGGAGCAAACAGG